Molecule: long non-coding RNA, 159 nt
Organism: Lingula anatina
Lineage: Eukaryota; Metazoa; Brachiopoda; Lingulata; Lingulida; Lingulidae
Source: RefSeq, a predicted model, not a curated record
UUCUCCUCCAACACGGGGCGGAUACCAGUAUACAGGCUAAGGGUGGGGGUACACCACUUCACUGGACUGCCGGGCUCGGCCACACACAAUGUGUAAAGCUUCUCCUCCAACACGGGGCUGAUACCAGUAUACAGGAUAAGGAUGGGUGGACACCACUUC